ACACGACUACAUUAGAUACCCGUGUAGUCCUAGCCGUAAACGAUACUCGCUAGGUGUCGGCCACGGUGCGACCGUUGUCGGUGCCGUAGGGAAGCCGUGAAGCGAGCCACCUGGGAAGUACGGCCGCAAGGCUGAAACUUAAAGGAAUUGGCGGGGAGCACCACAACGGGUGGAGCUUGCGGUUUAAUUGGAUUCAACGCCGGAAAUCUUACCGGGACCGACAGCAACAUGAAGGCCAAGCUGAAGACUUUGCCGGAUUAGCUG
Molecule: ribosomal RNA, 264 nt
Filed under: uncultured archaeon
Lineage: Archaea
Description: partial 16S ribosomal RNA
Rfam family: Archaeal small subunit ribosomal RNA
Source: RNAcentral